Long non-coding RNA from Acanthopagrus latus (yellowfin seabream), 761 nucleotides. RefSeq lists it as uncharacterized. The transcript has 4 exons. NCBI's taxonomy places the organism in Eukaryota, Metazoa, Chordata, Actinopteri, Spariformes, Sparidae. The record is from RefSeq and is a predicted model, not a curated record.
AGAACGUAUUCAUUCACUGACACCAUCUCAUCCAGAGAAUAAUGAGAUUGAUGUAUCCUGUAUUUAUGCGGGACGUUUCCAUGGAGAGUACAAGAAAUACCAUGCACGUCUUUAUCUUGGUGAUGACCGUCAGCUGCUUAAAGAAGAAACAGAAAACACAUGCAAAUUUGUAUUCAAAGAUCUGAGCUAUUUGACCACCUACAGAGUGGAGGUGACUGUUUUCAAUGGACAACAUGAGAGCGACCCCGUCAUGGAGCAUGUCGACACGAAGUGUACGUGCAGUUUUAAUUAAUGCCACAAACUGUCGCACAUCGUUCUGUUAAAUCAUUUCACACAUUUGGUUCAGACUUGCAGUGCAGUCAUUGAUUGUUGUAUGUUGUAUUUUAAACAUUAAUACCACCACUUUUACAUCCUCCUCUUAUGACCCUCAUGUUACAGAUAACAACAAAGUUGUCAUCGGUGUUCUGGUGUUCUUCAUCAUCCUCAUCAUCACAGCUGUGGUGGUUUGCAGGAUCUACGUUCUGAAACGCAGAAAGUCCAGAAACGAUGUUAAUGAGGAUAUGAUGCUUGAAUCAACAGCAAUUUAUGUGAACGUACCACCUCCUGGAUGGCGUCACCAAGAAGCUCGCUGAUGAAGAAGGACCUGCUGGAUCUGCUCAACUAAUCACCAUUAACUUGUUGUGCUUUUAUGUUCAGUAUGUAGUGUGUGUGUGUGUGUGUGUGUGUGUGUGUGUGUGUGUGUGUGUGUGUGUGUGUGUGUG